RNA transcript from Eucalyptus grandis, 1597 nucleotides. It is a transcript of the gene named protein REVEILLE 8, with no coding region annotated. The transcript has 11 exons. Lineage: Eukaryota; Viridiplantae; Streptophyta; Magnoliopsida; Myrtales; Myrtaceae. The record is from RefSeq and is a predicted model, not a curated record.
UCGUUAACUCCUCACCACCACCACCACCAGUACCAGCACCACCAGUACCACCACCUCCCUCUCUCUCUCUCUCCUUUUCCCUCUGUUCGUGUUCGGUGCGAUUGCGAAGCGGAAAGCGAAUGCUCCUCUCCGGAUUGCCAUGAACUCCAACGCUUCCUCCAACCCCCAGUCGAUGGCCACCUCCACGACGUCGGCGACCACGCCGGCGGCGGGCGGCGACGGCGGCAAGAAGGUCAGGAAGCCCUACACGAUCACCAAGUCCAGGGAGAGCUGGACCGAGGAGGAGCACGACAAGUUCCUCGAGGCCCUCCAGCUGUUUGACCGCGAUUGGAAGAAAAUUGAGGAUUUUGUGGGCUCAAAGACUGUCAUUCAGAUCCGAAGCCAUGCCCAGAAAUACUUCUUGAAAGUCCAAAAGAAUGGGGCAGUUGCACAUGUUCCACCUCCUCGUCCUAAACGCAAAGCUGCUCAUCCCUACCCUCAAAAGGCAUCGAAAAAUGUUUUAGUGCCGCUGCAAGCAUCCAUGGCCCAGCCUUCUUCAACAAAUCCUGCUUUUACAAUUACACCAGGAAAUGUUUCAUGGGAUGAUGCAUCCGUGCUCAUAAACAAUGCAUCCAGCAAUAAUAUAUUAAGCCAGGAUGAGUUUAGCAAUUUCCAAGCUGAUAUUGGAUCAAAGGGCUCAUCAAGGGUUAGUUGCAGCACUGCUGCUGGUGUCCGAAGUUCGAGUAGAACGCCAUCUAGCUCGGAGAUAUCUAAACAACAGAGACAAACACCCGUAAUGCAUGGGAUACCUGAUUUUUCUGAAGUAUAUGGCUUCAUUGGGAGUGUCUUUGAUCCAAAUGCCAAAGGCCAUGUGCAAAAGCUAAAGGAAAUGGACCCUAUCAAUUUUGAAACUGUUCUAUUGUUGAUGAGGAACCUCACCUUUAAUUUGUCAAGUCCAGAUUUUGUACCAGUGAGGAAGGUGCUGUCAUCCUAUGAUGUGAAUACCAAAACUGUAGGUGCUCCAUUAGAAAAUGUUGUACAGAGCGAUCUGACAUGUUGAAUUGCUUGGCCCAUUGGUUCUGAAGCAGCACCCUUUGAUGUCAAAGCCCCACCUGCAUAGUUGCAGCAUCAACCUGGAGGUGCAGGGGGUCGCCAGACUGCCAGUGGCUAUUCAGAGAAUGUGGAGGUUGAAGUACGUUUGUUUGUUCUUUUGGGACUUGAACACUAACCUGCCCUUGUACUGUCUCACUAAUAAUUGGAGGAAUUUGAGUUGCUGUGUAUCUUCUAUCAUAGAUAAUUAGGCAGGCUGAACACUUCCUGGUACAAGUCUUCGAUUAGAGCAUCAAUCAAGCGAUGGGCAUCUGACGUGGCAAGGGAUGAAAAAUGCAGCAUCCUUCAACUAGCUGGCAAUUCAGGUAAGCAAACAAGCCCAAGGCUGGUUGAUUUAGAUUAAAAUGUCUACCCCAAUAAAAGGAAGAGCAGUUCUUAUUCUCUUCAUGUUGGCGAAUAAUUUCGUAAAGGAAGAAAAUUACUAUCUGUUUUGGUUGUUGGGGUUGACAACACAAACAAUUGGACACAAAAAUUCAAGCCAGCUUGUAAAGAAUGUGACCUGUGAUAA